Molecule: ribosomal RNA, 426 nt
Filed under: uncultured bacterium
Lineage: Bacteria
Description: bacterial SSU rRNA
Rfam family: Bacterial small subunit ribosomal RNA
Source: RNAcentral
GUAGGGAAUAUUGCACCAUGGGCGAAAGCCUGAUGCAGCAACGCCGCGUGAGUGAUGAAGGCCUUCGGGUCGUAAAACUCUUUUCAAGGGGAAGAGGAAGGACGGUACCCUUGGAAUAAGCAUCGGCUAACUACGUGCCAGCAGCCGCGGUAACACGUAGGAUGCAAGCGUUAUUCGGAUUUACUGGGCGUAAAGCGCGUGUAGGCGGUUAGGAGAGUUGGAUGUGAAAGCUCCCGGCUUAACUGGGAGAGGUCGUUCAAAACUUCCUGACUAGAGUUUGGUAGAGGAAAAUGGAAUUCCGGGUGUAGUGGUGAAAUGCGUAGAUAUCCGGAGGAACACCAGUGGCGAAAGCGAUUUUCUGGACCGAUACUGACGCUCAGACGCGAAAGCUAGGGUAGCAAACGGGAUUAGAAACCCCAGUAGUCC